This 355-nucleotide long non-coding RNA is filed under the name Physcomitrium patens. RNAcentral's name for it is "long non-coding RNA (PPAT_LNC001607)". Lineage: Eukaryota; Viridiplantae; Streptophyta; Bryopsida; Funariales; Funariaceae. The record is from RNAcentral.
GUUAUUAAUUAUGUAAUUGGAGUACUGAGUGAUUAAAUUAUAUGAGAAGUUAUUGAAAGAUUGAUUAUGGAUGGAAGAUUAUGAUUAUUGUUUAUUGAGAGUUGUGUGUGUGUGUUUUGACAGAGGAAGUUUGUGAUUAUAGGAAUUCUGUGAAUUCAGUUUGGUUGGAGUGAAGUCUAUUAUUCUUGGAGUUGGAUGGAAUUUAUUGAAUUUUGAGCGGUCUUUUGAGAGUACAAGGUUGCACAUUGUGGUUAUUAGUUGAUGAAGGAAUAUUGUUACUGGGAGAAAGCAUUGUAGUGUUUCUUAGUGUUUUAGUGGUUCGAAAUACAAUUAAUUGUGUGACCCUAACAAGUGA